RNAcentral lists this ribosomal RNA (237 nucleotides) under Triticum aestivum (bread wheat). Its description in RNAcentral is "partial small subunit ribosomal RNA". Lineage: Eukaryota; Viridiplantae; Streptophyta; Magnoliopsida; Poales; Poaceae. The record is from RNAcentral.
CCAAGCUCCGUGCGCCGAGGUUUAUCCUCGACUAUCAUACUCUCGUCCUGAUGCCUUUGGAAGCACCGCAAUGAAUGCAUCUUCGACAAAUCUCGGCCAUCCGCCACUCGCCUGUUGCAAACUAUUCAGGACGACACACGAUGUUGGGCUAGAGCCGCCGCCACCAGGAUUGGCACCAUCAUCUUGUGUGAUGUAACAAAACAUGUGCUUUCUUCUACCCUUCUAUCAAUGAAAUGA